This 655-nucleotide long non-coding RNA is filed under the name Solanum tuberosum (potato). RNAcentral describes it as "long non-coding RNA (STUB_LNC006525)". The record is from RNAcentral. Lineage: Eukaryota; Viridiplantae; Streptophyta; Magnoliopsida; Solanales; Solanaceae.
GAUAUAAAGGAAAGAAGAAGGAAGAGUUCUCUAAUGCAAACAAUGUUCGAAAUGAAGACACUGGUGCACAUAGGUAUCAAGGAGAAGCUAUUGCCUAUAAUGCUCAAACUGAAAAUAUACAUCCAAAUGUGUGUGCAGGGUACAAGACUGAAUGUUCAACUGGAAAAGGAGAUCUUCAAAGAGCACCAUACAUGACUGAGAACCAACAAGACAAGAUCAAAAUGAUGCUUGACAAUGAUAAGCAACCAGAUUACAUGGCUCAUAUGGCAGGUAUUGACUUCAAACCUUUAUCCACAGUAAAGCAGAUAAAGUGGAUAAUAGACACAGGAGCUACAAAUCAUAUGACUGCUAGUUUAGAUACAAUGACUGGCAUAGAACAUGUAAGAACACAUCAUAAAAGGAAGGUCCAUUUGCCUAAUGGUGAAGUGACAAUGGUGUCUCACACAGGAAAGUGCAGUUUGGGAGAUAUAGGAGUACUUGAAAAUGUUCUGUACAUACCUGAUUUUAAGUAUAAUCUUUUAUCAGUAUCAAAGAUAACUAAGGAGCUCAAUUGUUUUGUCUCUUUUUAUCCUGGUUUCUGCUUGUUCCAGGACCUUACCAGUGGGAUCUUGAAGGGGAUUGGUAAGGAGAGUGCUGGUUUAUACAUAAUGUUCUC